This 742-nucleotide long non-coding RNA is filed under the name Fukomys damarensis (Damara mole-rat). Its description in RNAcentral is "lncRNA (ENSFDAG00000033370.1)". Lineage: Eukaryota; Metazoa; Chordata; Mammalia; Rodentia; Bathyergidae. The record is from RNAcentral.
GCUGAAGGGCAUGGGAGAAAUCUCUACAGUUCAUUUGCAGCUUUUCUGUAAAUUUUAAGUUAAAUUGAAGUAAGUUGGUUUUCUUAAAAGGCUCUUUGUGAUUGCAGCUGCCUAGAAUGAGGACAGUAUGGGAAAGAUGCCCAGUGAAGGGACAUGGUCUCUGGUUUUCAAAUUCUGCUCUGUUCCCAUGUUUGAUCAGCCCAACUCCAUGACCCAGUGACUAGUCACAUCUGAACAACCUAUUGAUAUCCCUGGUAUUUCAGAGGUAUCUGAAGAUUAAAGCCAUUUUAUAGGAGAGAGAAUGAAAAAUCCAACUCAUCAUUCAAAAAAAAAAAAAAUAACAAAUAUCUGUGGGGCCAGAAUACGCCGGAACUACUGAUCCUCCUCACAUCCAAAUUAAAUGUCAGGAUCCAAGAGAGAGUAAACAUAGGGUUGCAAUGGAGGGUCUGUCUCCUGCUCCUUAAAGGUUUGAAAUCUGCUCCUACAAGACACCACCUUCACCCCUGGGCAGCAGGCUACCAAUUCCACCAUCACUGUCUACAUGAAGUGAAAGGUUAUCCAUUUGGUCUAGAAAUUUAGCUUUUGAAAGGGAAGGAUGGGAUUUUGAUGAAAUACCAUGGGAAACACAUUCCCCAAAGAAGAACUAUAAAUAUUUCUGCUUUUCUCACAAGAUCUUUGUACUUGCUCAAACUAAAUGAAAACUGGAAAAAUUCCUAAGCCAAUAAAAAAUUUUAUCUACUCC